RNAcentral lists this ribosomal RNA (253 nucleotides) under uncultured bacterium. Its description in RNAcentral is "partial 16S ribosomal RNA". It matches the Rfam family "Bacterial small subunit ribosomal RNA", at positions 524 to 776 of the family's 1533-position model. The record is from RNAcentral.
UACGUAGGGGGCUAGCGUUGUCCGGAAUCAUUGGGCGUAAAGAGCGUGUAGGCGGUCCGGUAAGUCCGCUGUGAAAGUCGGGGGCUCAACCCUCGAAUGCCGGUGGAUACUGUCGGGCUAGAGUGCGGAAGAGGCGAGUGGAAUUCCUGGUGUAGCGGUGAAAUGCGCAGAUAUCAGGAGGAACACCUAUUGCGAAGGCGGCUCUCUGGGACGGUACUGACGCUGAGACGCGAAAGCGUGGGGAGCGAACAGG